RNAcentral lists this unclassified non-coding RNA (1784 nucleotides) under Hevea brasiliensis (rubber tree). The record is from RNAcentral. Lineage: Eukaryota; Viridiplantae; Streptophyta; Magnoliopsida; Malpighiales; Euphorbiaceae.
GUUAUUUCUCAAAAGCAAGAGCAGCAUUAAAGUCUUUUCAAGGAAAAAAAAAAGUGAUUGAAGUAAAUUAUAUACACAGAAAAAGAAAAUAUACAAAAUAUGUUUAAAGAGGAUCAUAAUAUUUUUUUUUCUUUCUUUCUAAUCUUUAGCUGCAACAACAUUCUUUUGGUUCUUUAGUUUCUGUAUCCCCCUUUUCUGGUGUGGUCCUUGAGAAAACAUACAAAAAAUAAUGAUUUAUCAACUUUGGCGUUUUAUUCAGCAAUUGCACCAUUCUUGUGCUUCACAUUCAAACACUGGAAUUAUUGCACUUCCAAGCAACCACGCCGCGGCUGCUAGCACUCAAAGAUGAGUCAUUCACAAGCAAUUUUAGUGUCAAAGCUGCUAAGGCAUAUGGCGAAUGCCUGGAAUGCUGAUAGUGGGUAGCGGUAAUCCAUUGUAAACAUGUCCUUCCCUACUUUACCGAAUUGCAAAAUAACCUUCUCAUGUUCUGGUCCAGCCGCACCAUUCUCUGGAGAAGCUACCAACUGAAAGUUCUUCACCGAGGCGACGGUUACCCGACCAUGAAAGUUCAAACACCAGCAUUGGAGCUGUUCAUGCCAUCUGGGAGCCUUAUUUUUCAGAACCAGUGAACCUUCUCUUUGAGUUUCUAUAGGCCCAGACAAAGACUUCUCCAAGCGACUUGAUUUGGAUCGAAGAAAUCGCAUCGGAAGAGAGGAACCACUAUUGCCCAUUGGAAAAUCAACCUGUGUGGGAGCUAUACCUCCAGGUUUAAUGGCAGAAGCUGGGAUAGCAUCCAUCACACAAUGCAUUCUUCUUGGCCCCCUGGCUCCAAGUACAUUCAACUCAUAUGAAAUAUGAGCAACUUCAUAAUUUCCAGCAGGCACUCUAGAAUUCAUUUGUUUUGAGCCCACAAGCCUAGUGGAACGGCUCUUCACCAGCUUGGCUCCAGCAUAAGGAAGAAUAGAAUCAUAUGCAGUAAACUUGGUUCCAAGGAAAUUUGAUCUUAAUCUCCCGAUACAAGUGCCACCUCCCUUUGACGUUUCAUUUGCAUCCAAUGAUAUAGUGUAGUCAGUGCAGGUGGCCUUCCUGUACUUCCGAGCAGCAAGAAGAAACUUCCCAUCAUCAGCUAAUGCUUGAGUCAAACUGAGGUAUAGAUGAUAUGCCUGUGUUGUCUGGUUUCUCUUUAUAAAGCACUGAAGGAGUGUGUCUCGUGGACCAGGCUGCUUGACAGAAAUUGGAAAAGUUAACUUUCCAGAAACUUCAGGAGUCUUCACCAACUCCUUCAUAAUCUCCCUCCAGCUCCUACACACUCCAGAACAAGCUACAACACUUCUCCUCAAAGGCCAUUUAGAUUCUGUAUCUUCAAUCCUCAUAAGAACCUCUCUUAAUAACUCUAAAGGCAAAUUAGCCCAACAGCUCUCCACAAACACUUCAUCAAUCCCCUCUGUUUCCUCUGCCACAGCCACCACUGAACUCUGGCGACACCUUGACUUUGACCCAUAACCCCACUUCAUCUCACAACCCAAAAAAAAUAGCUAAAAAUUGAUUUCUCAAAACAAUGCUUAUAAACUCAACCAAAACACUCCCACCUCACAGAAAUUUCAUAAACAUCAAACCUACAACCAAAAAUGCACCUUAAAUCCAGAUCUGAAAUCUAUAAUCCCCCUAAAACACCAUAAAGAUUGAAUCUUUAACAUUCUUUCAUGCCUAAACUCAACACCCAAUGCAUCAAAACCAAAUUUUAAAACAAAAAACCAUAUGGGGUUUGAAAAUUAAUCUGAAAA